AUGGAUUCAAAAUUACCCAGGUGGUCUUGCAUACAUCAGAAAUGUAGAAUAUUAAUUUGGAAUGUUUGGAGAGUUGCCUUGAGAACAGGCAUUAGACGAUCACAGAGGGAGGCUGAACGCAAGGGGCGGAAGGAAACGCCUGGAGUCCCAGCGUGAGGCAGAGUGGAAGAAGGAGGAGGAGCAGCUUUGCCUGGAGGAGGAGCAGAAGGAGGAGGAGGAGAGGAAGGCCCGGGAGGAGCAGGCCCAGUGGGAGCACAAGGAGUACAGGAAGCUGAAGGAGGCCUUCGUGGUGGAGGAGGAAGGCGUGGGCGAGACCAUGACGGAGGAGCAGUCCCACAGCUUCCUGACAGAGUCCAUCAACUACAUCAGGGAGUCCAAGGUUGUGCUCUUGGAAGAUCUGGCUUCCCAGGUGGACCUGAGGACUCAGGACACCAUAAACUGCUGAGGGGACUCUAACAGGUGUGAUUGACAACCGGGGCAAGUUCAUCUAUAUAACCCCAGGGGAACUGGCUGCUGUGGCCAACUUCAUCCGACAGUGGGGCCGGGUGUCCAUCCCCGAGUUUGCCCAGGCCAGCAACUCCCUCAUCACCUGGGGCCAGGAGCCCCCUGCCCAGGCCCCAGCCUGACCCCAGCCCUUCCCUCUUGGACUCAGAGCUGCUGCGGCCUACCUGGCCACACAUCUUCAUCCCUCCCCACCUUCCUGGGGCAGUCAUGGAGUGUGGCCAGGCAGUUGUAGAUUAAAGGCCUGUGAGCACUG
Molecule: RNA transcript, 757 nt
Organism: Lemur catta (Ring-tailed lemur)
Lineage: Eukaryota; Metazoa; Chordata; Mammalia; Primates; Lemuridae
Gene name: DDRGK domain-containing protein 1-like
Exons: 1
Source: RefSeq, a predicted model, not a curated record